GUGCUCACUUCGGCAGCACAUAUACAAAAGUUGGAAGGAUACAGAGAAGAUUAGCAUGGUCCCUGUGAGAGGAUGACAUGCAAAUUCCUGAAGUGUUCCAUAUUAAA
Small nuclear RNA from Cricetulus griseus (Chinese hamster), 107 nucleotides. The record is from Ensembl. NCBI's taxonomy places the organism in Eukaryota, Metazoa, Chordata, Mammalia, Rodentia, Cricetidae.